RNAcentral lists this ribosomal RNA (669 nucleotides) under Escherichia coli. RNAcentral's name for it is "partial 23S ribosomal RNA". It matches the Rfam family "Bacterial large subunit ribosomal RNA", at positions 2259 to 2925 of the family's 2925-position model. The record is from RNAcentral. Lineage: Bacteria; Pseudomonadati; Pseudomonadota; Gammaproteobacteria; Enterobacterales; Enterobacteriaceae.
UGGUGGGUAGUUUGACUGGGGCGGUCUCCUCCUAAAGAGUAACGGAGGAGCACGAAGGUUGGCUAAUCCUGGUCGGACAUCAGGAGGUUAGUGCAAUGGCAUAAGCCAGCUUGACUGCGAGCGUGACGGCGCGAGCAGGUGCGAAAGCAGGUCAUAGUGAUCCGGUGGUUCUGAAUGGAAGGGCCAUCGCUCAACGGAUAAAAGGUACUCCGGGGAUAACAGGCUGAUACCGCCCAAGAGUUCAUAUCGACGGCGGUGUUUGGCACCUCGAUGUCGGCUCAUCACAUCCUGGGGCUGAAGUAGGUCCCAAGGGUAUGGCUGUUCGCCAUUUAAAGUGGUACGCGAGCUGGGUUUAGAACGUCGUGAGACAGUUCGGUCCCUAUCUGCCGUGGGCGCUGGAGAACUGAGGGGGGCUGCUCCUAGUACGAGAGGACCGGAGUGGACGCAUCACUGGUGUUCGGGUUGUCAUGCCAAUGGCACUGCCCGGUAGCUAAAUGCGGAAGAGAUAAGUGCUGAAAGCAUCUAAGCACGAAACUUGCCCCGAGAUGAGUUCUCCCUGACUCCUUGAGAGUCCUGAAGGAACGUUGAAGACGACGACGUUGAUAGGCCGGGUGUGUAAGCGCAGCGAUGCGUUGAGCUAACCGGUACUAAUGAACCGUGAGGCUUAAC